Molecule: transfer RNA, 72 nt
Filed under: Bacteroidota bacterium
Lineage: Bacteria; Pseudomonadati; Bacteroidota
Description: Bacteroidetes bacterium (marine metagenome) tRNA-Asn
Rfam family: tRNA
About the family: Transfer RNA (tRNA) molecules are approximately 80 nucleotides in length. Their secondary structure includes four short double-helical elements and three loops (D, anti-codon, and T loops).
Source: RNAcentral
UCCGCGAUAGCUCAAUGGUAGAGCAACCGGCUGUUAACCGGUAGGUUGUCAGUUCGAAUCUGACUCGCGGAG